RNAcentral lists this ribosomal RNA (253 nucleotides) under uncultured bacterium. Its description in RNAcentral is "partial 16S ribosomal RNA". It matches the Rfam family "Bacterial small subunit ribosomal RNA", at positions 524 to 776 of the family's 1533-position model. The record is from RNAcentral.
UACGGAGGGAGCUAGCGUUGUUCGGAAUUACUGGGCGUAAAGCGCACGUAGGCGGCUUUGUAAGUUAGAGGUGAAAGCCCGGAGCUCAACUCCGGAACUGCCUUUAAGACUGCAUCGCUAGAAUUGUGGAGAGGUGAGUGGAAUUCCGAGUGUAGAGGUGAAAUUCGUAGAUAUUCGGAAGAACACCAGUGGCGAAGGCGACUCACUGGACACAUAUUGACGCUGAGGUGCGAAAGCGUGGGGAGCAAACAGG